GGAGAGGUGGUUGAGUGGUUGAAGGCGCUCGCCUGGAAAGCGGGUAGACGUUUAUAGCGUCUCGAGGGUUCGAAUCCCUCUCUCUCCGCCA
RNAcentral lists this transfer RNA (91 nucleotides) under Tissierellia bacterium. RNAcentral's name for it is "tRNA-Ser". It matches the Rfam family "tRNA". Rfam says of the family: Transfer RNA (tRNA) molecules are approximately 80 nucleotides in length. Lineage: Bacteria; Bacillati; Bacillota; Tissierellia. The record is from RNAcentral.